This is a long non-coding RNA of Dromaius novaehollandiae (emu), 1066 nucleotides long. RefSeq lists it as uncharacterized. The record is from RefSeq and is a predicted model, not a curated record. The transcript has 7 exons. Lineage: Eukaryota; Metazoa; Chordata; Aves; Casuariiformes; Dromaiidae.
AUAGAGAGGGCGCGUUGCCGAGCGACGGGGGGGGGCCGUUCACCGCAGAGCGCCGGCGGAACAGCCACGCGGCCAUCGAGAGGAGCUGCGCCGCCGCGAGCGGCCGGCCAGCCGCGGCCGGCUGCCCCAAGGACCGGGGCGGCCCCCGCGCCGGACCACAGGGAGCGCGGAGCGCGCACGGACAGAGCGGGCCGCGGGCACCGAGAAGAAGCCUCGGGUGACGGGAGUGCAUCAGCCGGCGUGGCCUGGGACAGCAGAUUAAUGGACAGCUGAGCAUUCUGUCAUUGGGUUACAAAAGGAGAAGUUAGCGCAUCAGAAAGGACUUCUCUUACGGCAAAAAGGCCAGGAACCACUCAAGGAAGGCUGACAGGUUUUAUCAACAGAAUGGAAACUGAAGUGAUAAGGUAUGGGACCAAUUGGUACUAGCCACUGCACAAACUGAAGCAAAUGGAGUGCUGUCCUUGAAGAAACUUAAGCUAAUAACUUGAACCUAUUAUGCUCAAGUGAGUUUGAAAAAUGAGAGAAGAGUAAAAAGGUGAGAGGAGCUGUGAUAAAAUGCAUCACUAUAUAGGCUGAAGCUCUGGCCUCAGACUGCUCCGUGUAUGUUCUGUGAGAACCAUGUAGGUAAUGAAGACACUAGCUGAAGCAAUUACUGAGGUAUUACUGACUAUCAUGGAAGACAGAACUUUUUGCCAUAUGAUGUUGUGUAUGUCAAAAGCGUAAAUGGAUUAAAAUUUUCUGGAAGGCUGAUGAGAAGCCAGCGUCCUGCCAAAGACACCAAGGCUCAUUCAACUGUCAAAAGCGAUAGAGGCUCUGACCUUACUGUUCCAGAAUGCAUAAGUUGGGCACAUACGGAUCUUCUAUUAACGUUCAAUGUUAGUGGACCCAAGAGCUUCUCUGCCAACUAUUUCGGAGUUUCUGAGCCUGCUGAUUUAAAAAUGUUCAUUGCUUAUAUAUUCUAACAUCUUUCUCAGUUACUAAUAGACUAGAAGGUAUUUCAUCAUCUUCAAGCAAUGAAAGCAAAUCAUCCUUCUUUCCAAAUACUGAAUAAAAGUCUGUUUGAACA